AGAUUGAGUUUGAUCAUGGCUCAGAUUGAACGCUGGCGGCAGGCCUAACACAUGCAAGUCGAGCGGUAGAGAGAAGCUUGCUUCUCUUGAGAGCGGCGGACGGGUGAGUAAUGCCUGGGAAUCUGCCUGGUAGUGGGGGAUAACGUUCGGAAACGGACGCUAAUACCGCAUACGUCCUACGGGAGAAAGCAGGGGACCUUCGGGCCUUGCGCUAUCAGAUGAGCCUAGGUCGGAUUAGCUAGUUGGUGAGGUAAUGGCCCACCAAGGCGACGAUCCGUAACUGGUCUGAGAGGAUGAUCAGUCACACUGGAACUGAGACACGGUCCAGACUCCUACGGGAGGCAGCAGUGGGGAAUAUUGGACAAUGGGCGAAAGCCUGAUCCAGCCAUGCCGCGUGUGUGAAGAAGGUCUUCGGAUUGUAAAGCACUUUAAGUUGGGAGGAAGGGUUGUAGAUUAAUACUCUGCAAUUUUGACGUUACCGACAGAAUAAGCACCGGCUAACUCUGUGCCAGCAGCCGCGGUAAUACAGAGGGUGCAAGCGUUAAUCGGAAUUACUGGGCGUAAAGCGCGCGUAGGUGGUUUGUUAAGUUGGAUGUGAAAUCCCCGGGCUCAACCUGGGAACUGCAUUCAAAACUGACUGACUAGAGUAUGGUAGAGGGUGGUGGAAUUUCCUGUGUAGCGGUGAAAUGCGUAGAUAUAGGAAGGAACACCAGUGGCGAAGGCGACCACCUGGA
This 734-nucleotide ribosomal RNA is filed under the name uncultured bacterium. RNAcentral describes it as "bacterial SSU rRNA". It matches the Rfam family "Bacterial small subunit ribosomal RNA", at positions 1 to 733 of the family's 1533-position model. The record is from RNAcentral.